Hevea brasiliensis (rubber tree) is the source of this 108-nucleotide small nucleolar RNA. NCBI's taxonomy places the organism in Eukaryota, Viridiplantae, Streptophyta, Magnoliopsida, Malpighiales, Euphorbiaceae. The record is from RefSeq and is a predicted model, not a curated record.
AUGGUAUGAUGUAGACAUUGUCUCUCCAACUCUUUCCAUCUCAUCCAUGAUUCAUAGAGAGUUUCAUCUUCUCUUAGUCUAAAAGUUAUCAUUUGAUUCCUUAAUUCU